UGUGUACUCCCUCCAUUCCAAAAUACUUGACUUCCAUUUGUCCAAAAAUGGAUGUACCUAUAUACUAAGACAUGUCUAGAUACAUAUAUAUUUUGACAAAUAGAAGGCAUGUAUUGUGCAAUGGAGGGAGUAGAAU
Non-coding RNA from Triticum aestivum (bread wheat), 136 nucleotides. The record is from Rfam. Lineage: Eukaryota; Viridiplantae; Streptophyta; Magnoliopsida; Poales; Poaceae.